Molecule: ribosomal RNA, 465 nt
Filed under: uncultured bacterium
Lineage: Bacteria
Description: partial 16S ribosomal RNA
Rfam family: Bacterial small subunit ribosomal RNA
Source: RNAcentral
GACGAACGCUGGCGGCGUGCUUAACACAUGCAAGUCGAACGGAAAGGCCCUGCUUGCAGGGUCCUCGAGUGGCGAACGGGUGAGUAACACGUGGGUGAUCUGCCCUGCACUUCGGGAUAAGCCUGGGAAACUGGGUCUAAUACCGGAUAGGAGCCAUUUUUAGUGUGAUGGUUGGAAAGUUUUUUCGGUGUAGGAUGAGCUCGCGGCCUAUCAGCUUGUUGGUGGGGUAAUGGCCUACCAAGGCGGCGACGGGUAGCCGGCCUGCGAGGGUGGACGGCCACAUUGGGACUGAGAUACGGCCCAGACUCCUACGGGAGGCAGCAGGGGGGAAGAUUGCACAAUGGGCGCAAGCCUGAUGCAGCGACGCCGCGUGGGGGAUGACGGCCUUCGGGUUGAAAACUCAUUUCGCUAGGGACGAAGCUUUUUGUGACGGUACCUAGAGAAGAAGCACCGGCUAACUACGUG